This 429-nucleotide ribosomal RNA is filed under the name Pseudomonadota bacterium. Its description in RNAcentral is "Proteobacteria bacterium partial 16S ribosomal RNA". It matches the Rfam family "Bacterial small subunit ribosomal RNA", at positions 355 to 776 of the family's 1533-position model. Lineage: Bacteria; Pseudomonadati; Pseudomonadota. The record is from RNAcentral.
UGGGGAAUAUUGGACAAUGGGCGAAAGCCUGAUCCAGCCAUGCCGCGUGUGUGAAGAAGGUCUUCGGAUUGUAAAGCACUUUAAGUUGGGAGGAAGGGCAGUAAGCGAAUACCUUGCUGUUUUGACGUUACCGACAGAAUAAGCACCGGCUAACUCUGUGCCAGCAGCCGCGGUAAUACAGAGGGUGCAAGCGUUAAUCGGAUUUACUGGGCGUAAAGCGCGCGUAGGCGGCUAAUUAAGUCAAAUGUGAAAUCCCCGAGCUUAACUUGGGAAUUGCAUUCGAUACUGGUUAGCUAGAGUGUGGGAGAGGAUGGUAGAAUUCCAGGUGUAGCGGUGAAAUGCGUAGAGAUCUGGAAGAAUACCGAUGGCGAAGGCAGCCAUCUGGCCUAACACUGACGCUGAGGUACGAAAGCAUGGGGAGCAAACAGG